RNAcentral lists this ribosomal RNA (483 nucleotides) under uncultured bacterium. RNAcentral's name for it is "bacterial SSU rRNA". It matches the Rfam family "Bacterial small subunit ribosomal RNA", at positions 34 to 518 of the family's 1533-position model. The record is from RNAcentral.
CGCUGGCGGCGUGCUUAAUACAUGCAAGUCGAGCGAGCUACUUCGGUAGCGAGCGGCGCACGGGUGAGUAACGCGUAGAUGAUCUACCCUCGAGACUGAGAUACCUCCGGGAAACUGGAGUUAAUACCAGAUAACGCACAUUUGUUGGUUCAGAUGUGUUAAAGCGGUGCAAGUCGCACUUGAGGAUGAGUCUGCGGCCUAUCAGCUAGUUGGUGGGGUAACGGCCUACCAAGGCGAAGACGGGUAGCUGAUCUGAGAGGAUGAUCAGCCACAUUGGGACUGAGACACGGCCCAAACUCCUACGGGAGGCAGCAGUAGGGAAUAUUGCGCAAUGGGGGGAACCCUGACGCAGCGACGCCGCGUGAGUGAAUGACGGCCAUUUUGGUUGUAAAGCUCUGUAAAGAGGGAAAAAUGUUGCAGUGAAGAGCUGCAAUUGAUGGUACCUCUAAAGUAAGGACCGGCUAAAUACGUGCCAGCCGCUGC